Molecule: long non-coding RNA, 646 nt
Organism: Chelonus insularis
Lineage: Eukaryota; Metazoa; Arthropoda; Insecta; Hymenoptera; Braconidae
Exons: 4
Source: RefSeq, a predicted model, not a curated record
CUCUGCACAAUAACCAACGACCUACAUAAAAGAAACGUUGGCUUGUCGCCAAACUUACAUAUAAUACGGCGUCGUUAACGGAUACUAGCGGACAAUUAAGCGAACCAAAUCGAUCACAAGAGGAAGGAAGAAGAACGGAGAUGCGGCAUUUAAGUUCUUCAUUUUUUGGGUUCAAAAAUAAUCUAUAGACAAGGAAUUUUUUCAAGUAAUCUUAUAAGCUACAUAUCUACCGUCCCGAUAUGACGUUAUCAGGAACACUUGAUCACCAAAGAAGGUUAACAGGAAUUCCCAAUUUAGCUGUGCACAAAUGAUAAAUACAUGUACGCCAAAGAAAAACUUGAACAAAGUCUAAGGUCGGCAUUUUUAUUCAGAUAACAUUUGAAUAAUCAAUCUACAACUUGCUGAUGCUUAUAUAAAAUCAGAUGAAUAUCUUGUUUGAUUGAAUACUAGAUAAACAAGUGGAUAAAUUUGCCGAUUAACUAUAAAUAAACACGCAUCAAAAAGAGAAAUGUGUUGCAGUUGAAGUAAUAAGAAGAGUGACAAUAACUAUAAGACACGAUGUAGCCACGAAAAUCAUCGUAAAGUCUGAUGUUUUUGUACUUAGGUUAUUUGUAUUAAUGCAAAAUAAAACUUAAAAGUUUAAUGA